GACGAACGCUGGCGGCGUGCCUAAUACAUGCAAGUAGAACGCACAGUUUAUACCGUAGCUUGCUACACCAUACACUGUGAGUUGCGAACGGGUGAGUAACGCGUAGGUAACCUGCCUGGUAGCGGGGGAUAACUAUUGGAAACGAUAGCUAAUACCGCAUAAUAUUGAUUAUUGCAUGAUAAUUGAUUGAAAGAUGCUAUUGCAUCACUACCAGAUGGACCUGCGUUGUAUUAGCUAGUAGGUGAGGUAACGGCUCACCUAGGCGACGAUACAUAGCCGACCUGAGAGGGUGAUCGGCCACACUGGGACUGAGACACGGCCCAGACUCCUACGGGAGGCAGCAGUAGGGAAUCUUCGGCAAUGGACGAAAGUCUGACCGAGCAACGCCGCGUGAGUGAAGAAGGUUGUCGGAUCGUAAAGCUCUGUUGUAAGAGAAGAACGGGUGUGAGAGUGGAAAGUUCACACUGUGACGGUAUCUGACCAGAAAGGGACGGCUAACUACGUG
RNAcentral lists this ribosomal RNA (505 nucleotides) under uncultured bacterium. Its description in RNAcentral is "partial 16S ribosomal RNA". It matches the Rfam family "Bacterial small subunit ribosomal RNA", at positions 28 to 507 of the family's 1533-position model. The record is from RNAcentral.